Molecule: ribosomal RNA, 382 nt
Filed under: uncultured eukaryote
Lineage: Eukaryota
Description: partial 18S ribosomal RNA
Rfam family: Eukaryotic small subunit ribosomal RNA
Source: RNAcentral
CAAUAGCGUAUAUUAAAGUUGUUGCAGUUAAAAGCUCGUAGUUGGAUUUCUGGUAGGAGUGACCGUUCCGAACUUGAUUGUUCGUGUAUUGUGUUUUCUCCAGCCAUCCUUGUGGAGAACUUUUCUUGCAUUAAUUUGUAGGGAUUGGGACCCGCAUCGUUUACUGUGAAAAAAUUAGAGUGUUUAAAGCAGGCAAUCGCUUGAAUACAUUAGCAUGGAAUAAUAAGAUAGGACUUUGGUACUAUUUUGUUGGUUUGCAUACCAAAUUAAUGAUCAACAGGAACAGUUUGAGGAUAUUCGUAUGAACAUGUCAGAGGUGAAAUUCUUGGAUUUUGAUCAGACGAACUACUGCGAAAGCAUUUAUCAAGGAUGUUUUCAUUAA